This 262-nucleotide ribosomal RNA is filed under the name Anguilla mossambica (African longfin eel). RNAcentral's name for it is "partial 16S ribosomal RNA". The record is from RNAcentral. Lineage: Eukaryota; Metazoa; Chordata; Actinopteri; Anguilliformes; Anguillidae.
GUUCCUCGUGGGGGCUUUUCUCUCCCCCAUGGUCGCCCCAACCGAAGACAUUUGGAUCAGUUUACGUUGGGUUUUGUGGCCUUUGUGCUCCUUUUGGUUGGUUUGGUUUCUUUACAUGUUUGAUCUUUUGUCUAAAGCUCCAUAGGGUCUUCUCGUCUUAUGUGUUUAUGUCCGCUUCUGCACGGGCAGAUCAAUUUCAUUGACUAGGGGAAGGAGACAGUUAAACCCUCGUUAUGCCGUUCAUACAGGUCUCUAUUUAAAA